Lagopus muta (rock ptarmigan) is the source of this 457-nucleotide long non-coding RNA. RefSeq lists it as uncharacterized. Lineage: Eukaryota; Metazoa; Chordata; Aves; Galliformes; Phasianidae. The record is from RefSeq and is a predicted model, not a curated record. The transcript has 3 exons.
AUGAGGAGGGGUGGUAACAGUCCUCACUGCAGAGCCUAGAUAUUUUGUGAUGUCUGACUAAUGCUGCAAGGAGAGGAUUGAGGAAAGAAAAGAGUUCUCCAAUUGACAGGAAGCAAAGAAGAAAUGAUUGUUAAGGGCCGGCACUGCUUAUAGUUUAAAGACAGACACAAUUUAGAUACCACUGAGAUCCCAUUGCAGGAUGAAGCUUAAUGAGGUCUAUGUGGUCACAGAGGGAUAAAACACAGCGAGAUCAGAUGUGGCCCUGUGUUGUGUGUGAGAGCAAGACCUUUGAGCUGGAAACGUACAGCUUACAGAUUCUUAUGGCAGCAUACAAAUAUCUCACACAAAGCGGCAUGCUGUUUGUGGGUCUGAAACCACAGCUAUCACCUUCCAUCCCCCACAGCAGAUUUUAUGGCUAUUUCAAAGCCUAUCCUGAAAUUUAACUGAAUUUAUGCAG